This 494-nucleotide ribosomal RNA is filed under the name uncultured bacterium. Its description in RNAcentral is "partial 16S ribosomal RNA". It matches the Rfam family "Bacterial small subunit ribosomal RNA", at positions 28 to 507 of the family's 1533-position model. The record is from RNAcentral.
GACGAACGCUGGCGGCGUGCUUAACACAUGCAAGUCGAACGGUGAAGCGCCUUCCUUUUUGGUGGGUGUGGAUGAGUGGCGAACGGGUGAGUAACACGUUAGUAACCUGCCCCCUUCUUCUGGAUAACCGCAUGAAAGUGUGGCUAAUACGGGAUAUUCUGGGUCUGUCGCAUGAUGGGUCUGGGAAAGAUAUUGUUUCGGUGGGGGAUGGGCUCGCGGCCUAUCAGCUUGUUGGUGGGGUGAUGGCCUACCAAGGCGGUGACGGGUAGCCGGCCUGAGAGGGUGGACGGUCACACUGGGACGGAGACACGGCCCAGACUCCUAGGGGAGGCAGCAGUGGGGAAUAUUGCACAAUGGGCGCAAGCCUGAUGCAGCGACGCCGCGUGAGGGAUGGAGGCCUGCGGGUUGUGAACCUCUUUCGCCAGUGAAGCAGGCCUGCCUCGUUUGUGGGUGGGUUGACGGUAGCUGGAUAAGAAGCGCCGGCUAACUACGUG